AUGGCCAGCAGCGACUUCGACGACGGAGCGGCACCGGCAGGCUCCUGGCCAUCUAGCUUGACGCUGGCGCAGAACGAGGACCUCGCGUGGUUCGGCCUCUACGUUCCGCUUGUGGCGAUGGUACCGCAGCCGUGGAGGAUCUCCGCUGAGGGCCUCGCCACGCAAGGGCCGCCGGCGACCGAGGACAAGUUGCGCCGCCACCCCGACGGCCGGUGGAACAUCAGGAACUGGUGGCGGUGCUGGGAGGCCAAGUACUUCGACAAUGUCAUCAUUGUGUACCAGCAGGCGGAAAGAGGCUUGAACCCCUUCCUUGCCGACGACGCCGCCGGAGCGGGCUCCUCCCGCGGCCGCACCCGUGCCCCCGUUGCCGCCCCCGCGCCCGCCCCGCCCCUGCCCCGACGGAUGUUCCAAUCGCGCCAGAGCAGGCGGUGA
RNAcentral lists this ribosomal RNA (432 nucleotides) under Triticum aestivum (bread wheat). RNAcentral's name for it is "partial small subunit ribosomal RNA". The record is from RNAcentral. Lineage: Eukaryota; Viridiplantae; Streptophyta; Magnoliopsida; Poales; Poaceae.